This 2187-nucleotide unclassified non-coding RNA is filed under the name Lytechinus variegatus (green sea urchin). RNAcentral describes it as "uncharacterized LOC121413207, transcript variant X2". Lineage: Eukaryota; Metazoa; Echinodermata; Echinoidea; Temnopleuroida; Toxopneustidae. The record is from RNAcentral.
CAAAAGUGAAUCAAAGGGUACAUGAUGAUGAUUGCCCUGAUGUUUCAAAGUUGUCGAAGAAAGAGAUCACAAAACAAUUUAACAUGGAUACGAUUAAGAAUGAUGCAAAUUGUGACAAAGAACCAGUGUGUAAUCAGUUGAACAGUUCUGGUAGAUCAAUCACAGUAGGCAAAGAUAAAGGAGAAUUGACAGACAGAAACAAAAAUAAUCAUUCAAACAUAUUUUCAAAUGAGAGUGCAUGUCCAGCAGAUGGAAUUUCAAAAGAACACAUGACUAGUUCAGAAACCGUGAACAUCCCAGAUGGAGUAAGCCAUGUCAAAUUACAGAUUGAUCUUGAAGAGAAUGAGAGCGAUAGUGACAUUGACGCAAUCAAACGCAAUCGUGGGAGAAAUUACAUAGAAUCUGAAUCAGACACAAGUGUUGAAGAUGAUGAUUUACUGAGCAGUUCAUUUGAAAGUGAAAGGUCAUGUCAGCCUAUUGAUACACAGCUUGUACAUGAUGAAACAUGUCGCGUUGAAAUUGUCCCAGAUGCAGGAUUGAAUAAAAAUACAGACAAUGCAAUUUUGAAUGCAGGAGAUGAGUCUACUGAUGAUUCUUUUGCACAAAAUUCCUUUGAAUCUCAUAUGAAAGCAGCAAUUGCUCAGGAAAGAAAAGAAGAUGAUAUGCAUCCUUUGUACAAUGAAUCGAGAGACGAAGUAGAGUUUGUAUCAGAUCUUGGAAUGUGUGAUAGGCCAGACAAAUAUUUUAAAUUUUUACCUCUUGAGAUAACUGACAAACAAGCCAUUUGUAGAAAAUUGAAUAUUCCCUAUACAGACAGAAGCUUCCAUGCAAAGUGCAAUAGCAAUGAGUACAUUGGAAUUCCUUCACACAUUAAAACAAUAGAUGAGGAUGGCAACUGUUUCUUUCGUGCAAUUUCAUAUGCUAUUUCUGGAACUGAAUGUUAUCAUGUAAUUCUAAGGAAUCUUACUGUGAACCAUUUAUUACAGACCAAUGAUAAGUUUAAGAGUACAUUGAGAAGUGAGUUCAGAACUGUCAGAGAAUAUGUUUUGAAAAAUAGAAUAAUGGAAAAUGGAACUUGGGCUACAGACACUGAAAUGAGUGCAUUGGCAAAUUUGAUUGAUACCGAUAUCUAUUCUUACAAUGAUCAAGUACCAUGUUGGCAGUUGUACUCUGCAAGGAAACCGGGAAGAAUAAAUGUUGUUACAUCUCAUAAAGGCAUUUAUAUACAGUACACAAGAAAUGUUCAUUUUAAUGUAGUUGAAUCCGUUACUUCUGUCAGUAGUGAUUUAUCAAAGAACAUAGCAACAAUGAAAGAUAUAAACACAACAGUAAACAUGCAAAUAAAACCAGUUGCACAAGGAACAUUUCAUCAAGGUGACAUGAGAUUUGGUGAUUCAGCAGGAAAGCAAUGUGUUGCCAAUUCAUUGUCUGCUUUGUUGUAUAGCAAAAUGAAAAAUGCUAAUGAUUGGGACAAUAAAGAUUUAGAUAAAAUUCUGGCCAAUGGUGAUGAACUCUAUCGUUACAUAAGGUAUUAUGUAGCACGUGAACAAGAAUAUCUAUUAAUUUCUGAUCUACUUGAACACUUAGAGGCAUAUGAUGAGUUGUUUGAGAUAAAGCGACGUGAAUCAAUACCUGGAUUGUUAGAAGGAGAUGAAACAAAAUUGGAAGAAUCUAUUUCAAUGCCAUUGAAACAGGCACUUGAACAAGAAUUGAGUAGUGACUCUGAUGCAUGUUUUGUGACAUUUUCUGGAAAUACUUUUAUUGUCAUAUCUAGUUAUGAUUGUUUCUUUAUAUUUGAUUCACAUUCAAGAAACACAAGAGGCUUACUCGUUGAUGAUGGCUAUAGUGUAGUGCUUCAAACUCCAAGUUGGCAAGGUGUUUAUAAUCAUUGCAUGAGGCUGGCAAAAACAUUGAAAUGUUCUUCACAAACUGAAUAUGAGUUCUGGGCUCCUGGCUGAGGGACUGUCUCCUAUUGUAAUCCAGAGAGUCAAAGAUGGUCAACCUUUGCUGAGGGAAGUGAAUCUCGCUUCCCAGGUCUCCCUUCUCAGGCCCCACGAGGUUUGCAUAAGUUAUGGACUGGUGCUGCAUUAAGAUUCUUUCCAGAAUUUAUCAGUGCAUCCAAGUUCGUAAAAGUGUUGGCAUAGAAUUUAUCUUUCAUUGGAAAGUAAAGGGACAACAUAUCUCCAG